This 468-nucleotide ribosomal RNA is filed under the name uncultured bacterium. RNAcentral describes it as "partial 16S ribosomal RNA". It matches the Rfam family "Bacterial small subunit ribosomal RNA", at positions 28 to 507 of the family's 1533-position model. The record is from RNAcentral.
GAUGAACGCUGGCGGCGUGCUUAACACAUGCAAGUCGAACGGAAAGGCGCUGCUUUUGUGGGGUGCUCGAGAGGCGAACGGGUGAGUAACACGUGAGUAACCUGCCCCUGACAUAGGGAUAACUCUAGGGAACAGGGGCUCAUACCGGAUAGGAGCUCCUGCUGCACGGUGGGGGAUGGUAAGAUUCGGCGGUUGGGGCUGGACUCGCGGCUUAUCAGCUGGUUGGUGGGGUAGUGGCUGACAAAGGCUGUGACGGGUAGCCGGCCUGGGAGGGUGACCGGCCACAUUGGGACUGAGAUACGGCGCAGACUCCUACGGGAGGCAGCAGUGGGGAAUAUUGCACAAUGGGCGGAAGCCUGAUGCAGCAACGCCGCGUUCGGGAUGACGGCCUUCGGGUUGUAAACCGCUUUGGCCUGUGACGAAGCGUGAGUGACGGUAAUGGGUAAAGAAGCACCGGCUAACUACGUG